AGGGGGCAAGCGUUGCUCGGAAUCACUGGGCGUAAAGGGCGCGUAGGCGGGAUGGCAAGUCAGUCGUGAAAUCUCUCGGCUCAACCGAGAAACGUCGGCUGAUACUGCCGUUCUUGAGGGAUGCAGAGGAGACUGGAAUUCCCGGUGUAGCGGUGAGAUGUGUAGAGAUCGGGAGGAACACCGGUGGCGAAGGCGGGUCUCUGGGCAUUUCCUGACGCUGAGGCGCGAAAGCGUGGGGAGCAAACGGG
RNAcentral lists this ribosomal RNA (248 nucleotides) under uncultured bacterium. RNAcentral's name for it is "partial 16S ribosomal RNA". It matches the Rfam family "Bacterial small subunit ribosomal RNA", at positions 529 to 776 of the family's 1533-position model. The record is from RNAcentral.